Molecule: ribosomal RNA, 506 nt
Filed under: uncultured bacterium
Lineage: Bacteria
Description: partial 16S ribosomal RNA
Rfam family: Bacterial small subunit ribosomal RNA
Source: RNAcentral
AUUGAACGCUGGCGGCAGGCCUAACACAUGCAAGUCGAACGGUAACAGGAAACAGCUUGCUGUUUCGCUGACGAGUGGCGGACGGGUGAGUAAUGUCUGGGAAACUGCCUGAUGGAGGGGGAUAACUACUGGAAACGGUAGCUAAUACCGCAUAACGUCGCAAGACCAAAGAGGGGGACCUUCGGGCCUCUUGCCAUCGGAUGUGCCCAGAUGGGAUUAGCUAGUAGGUGGGGUAACGGCUCACCUAGGCGACGAUCCCUAGCUGGUCUGAGAGGACGACCAGCCACACUGGAACUGAGACACGGUCCAGACUCCUACGGGAGGCAGCAGUGGGGAAUAUUGCACAAUGGUCGCAAGCCUGAUGCAGCCAUGUCGCGUGUAUGAAGAAGGCCUUCGGGUUGUAAAGUACUUUCAGCGGGGAGGAAGGGAGUAAAGUUAAUACCUGUGCUCAUUGACGUUACCCGCAGAAGAAGCGCCGGCUAACUCCGUGCCAGCAGCCGCUGUAA